CUGCUCUGUCUACGGAGUAGCCAUGCUUUUAUUCCUUUACUUUCCUAACAACAUUUAUUUCCCUUUAUGUACUCGCCCUGAUUCUUUCUUGUGCGAGAUCUAAGAACCCUCUCUUGGGGUCUUGAUCGGGACCCCUUUCUUGUAACACAACUCCUUUUUUUGGAGUUUUACUUGCUUCCAACAAGGAAGGCAAGUUUUCCUGCUUCCAUGACGGUGGAAGGCAGAUAACUCCUUUCCGGAGUUCGAGCCUGCUUUCAACAGGGAAGGCAAAUUUGAGUUUUCCCCUGCUUCUAGAAUGGAAGAUGGCAGUCUUCAGCCUGAGACCCAUUCCUAGCAUUGGGCACAUUCACAUUCUUCUGCAACCAUCGCCAGCAUCCGUCGGCAGAACCUUCUCAUCUUC
Molecule: long non-coding RNA, 400 nt
Filed under: Homo sapiens (human)
Lineage: Eukaryota; Metazoa; Chordata; Mammalia; Primates; Hominidae
Description: HSALNT0379576
Source: RNAcentral